This 624-nucleotide long non-coding RNA is filed under the name Populus tremula. RNAcentral's name for it is "long non-coding RNA (PTRE_LNC002811)". Lineage: Eukaryota; Viridiplantae; Streptophyta; Magnoliopsida; Malpighiales; Salicaceae. The record is from RNAcentral.
UUUUUAGAUUAUUCUUCAUGUUAUCAAUUUACAAUCCAUAUAGAUUUAAUUAUUUUCAUGGGCAUUAUGGAAAAAUAGAAACAAGUUGAAGAAAUAAGAAGAGAGUAUUUGAGGAAAUAGUUGGUUGUUUGAUACUUAUUAUGGCAAGAAAGAGGAAAUUUAAGAGAGUAUGAAAGAGAAAGGUGAACAAACCAAGAAAUCAAUUAAGUUAUAAUAACGACAAUUAACAUACUUGGAGUAAUCCUGUGUCUCACUCAUAAUCACAUUUGUAUACUUUUCUUUUGAUAAAUGUACACCCACCUCAGCUAUAGCUAGCUGAUUUUGAUGAUCUAUGCAGUUCCCUUGGAUUUUAAGCGAGAAUCAUUGGCGUUGAGUGAAUCUGAAGGAUUUUAGGUGGACCUUUGCGGUCGGAAAUGGGAAGUUAGAAUCCAGAUUCCCCAACUUGACUUACAAGCGCGUUUCCGACAAGAAGAUUUCAGACACCGAGUAACGUUGAUACUUAUUUUGCUACAAGCAGAUCCACUUGUGCUCGUGUCUGGUGGAUCAGAGCAUCAGGAGGAGGAGGAGGAGGAGGAGUGGUAGGCUUGCCUGGUUGUCAGGUCUGAUCAAUUGACAGAAGGUUAA